RNAcentral lists this ribosomal RNA (274 nucleotides) under uncultured bacterium. RNAcentral describes it as "partial 16S ribosomal RNA". It matches the Rfam family "Bacterial small subunit ribosomal RNA", at positions 523 to 796 of the family's 1533-position model. The record is from RNAcentral.
AUACGGAGGGUGCAAGCGUUACUCGGAAUCACUGGGCGUAAAGCGCGCGCAGGCGGCUAUUUAAGUUGGAUGUGAAAGCCUACGGCUCAACCGUAGAACUGCAUCCUAAACUAUUUAGCUAGAGAGCGGGAGAGGAAGAUGGAAUUAGUUGUGUAGGAGUAAAAUCCGUAGAGAUAACUAGGAAUACCAAAAGCGAAGGCCAUCUUCUGGAACACUGCUGACGCUGAGGCGCGAAAGCGUGGGGAGCAAACGGGAUUAGAAACCAUAGUAGUCC